AAACAAUUAAUUUAACAGGUGAAAAUAUUUUCUAGUUAGAAAAUUUAUCGGUUCGAGUCCGUUAUUGUUUA
This 71-nucleotide transfer RNA is filed under the name Stephanopyxis turris. RNAcentral's name for it is "tRNA-Thr". It matches the Rfam family "tRNA". From Rfam's summary of the family: Transfer RNA (tRNA) molecules are approximately 80 nucleotides in length. Their secondary structure includes four short double-helical elements and three loops (D, anti-codon, and T loops). Further hydrogen bonds mediate the characteristic L-shaped molecular structure. tRNAs have two regions of fundamental functional importance: the anti-codon, which is responsible for specific mRNA codon recognition, and the 3' end, to which the tRNAs corresponding amino acid is attached (by aminoacyl-tRNA synthetases). tRNAs cope with the degeneracy of the genetic code in two manners: having more than one tRNA (with a specific anti-codon) for a particular amino acid; and 'wobble' base-pairing, i.e. permitting non-standard base-pairing at the 3rd anti-codon position. Lineage: Eukaryota; Bacillariophyta; Melosirophyceae; Stephanopyxales; Stephanopyxidaceae. The record is from RNAcentral.